This 344-nucleotide unclassified non-coding RNA is filed under the name soil metagenome. Its description in RNAcentral is "partial contains 5.8S ribosomal RNA, internal transcribed spacer 2, and large subunit ribosomal RNA". The stretch from base 1 to 119 matches the Rfam family "5.8S ribosomal RNA", at positions 35 to 154 of the family's 154-position model. The record is from RNAcentral.
GAUGAAGAACGUAGCGAAAUGCGAUACGUAAUGUGAAUUGCAAAUUCAGUGAAUCAUCGAGUCUUUGAACGCACAUUGCGCCCCCUGGUAUUCCGGGGGGCAUGCCUGUCCGAGCGUCAUUGCUGCCCUCAAGCACGGCUUGUGUGUUGGGCCCCGUCCUCCGAUCCCGGGGGACGGGCCCGAAAGGCAGCGGCGGCACCGCGUCCGGUCCUCGAGCGUAUGGGGCUUUGUCACCCGCUCUGUAGGCCGGCCGGCGCUUGCCGAUCAACCCAAAUUUUUAUCCAGGUUGACCUCGGAUCAGGUAGGGAUACCCGCUGAACUUAAGCAUAUCAAUAAGCGGAGGA